RNAcentral lists this ribosomal RNA (396 nucleotides) under Triticum aestivum (bread wheat). RNAcentral describes it as "partial small subunit ribosomal RNA". Lineage: Eukaryota; Viridiplantae; Streptophyta; Magnoliopsida; Poales; Poaceae. The record is from RNAcentral.
AUGUCCCCUUCCGAUCGCUCGAAGCAGCGCUCGGCAGCGUCGACUCUCCCGCGGUCUCGAUCCUGGAAAUCCACGUCCCCUACGAGUGCGUGCCCAACCCUUUCCCCGACACCGCCGGCGUCGACUCACUGCUGCGCGCCGCCGCGCGGCUCGAGCCGGCGGAGUUCGUCUUCGCCCUCCCCGGGCACUUAUCCAGCCCUUGCGUCGACGUCGACCUGUCUUGCUUCCACCGCACCACCUCCAUCGAGCUGGACUCAUGUCUCCUCUUCCUCCGUGUGCCAACCGGCGUCGACUUCCCCGCGCUCGAGAUGCUGUCCCUGUCGGGGAGGAUCCCGGAUCUCGACCCCUUGCUUUCAUGCUGCCCGCGCUUGCGCACACUCCAGCUCAGAAGCAUAG